RNAcentral lists this transfer RNA (25 nucleotides) under Halictus farinosus. RNAcentral's name for it is "tRNA-Leu". Lineage: Eukaryota; Metazoa; Arthropoda; Insecta; Hymenoptera; Halictidae. The record is from RNAcentral.
AUAUAAAUUUAUCUAUAUAAAUAUA